RNAcentral lists this unclassified non-coding RNA (403 nucleotides) under soil metagenome. RNAcentral's name for it is "partial contains 5.8S ribosomal RNA, internal transcribed spacer 2, and large subunit ribosomal RNA". The stretch from base 1 to 121 matches the Rfam family "5.8S ribosomal RNA", at positions 35 to 154 of the family's 154-position model. The record is from RNAcentral.
GAUGAAGAACGCAGCGAAAUGCGAUAAGUAAUGUGAAUUGCAGAAUUCAGUGAAUCAUCGAAUCUUUGAACGCACCUUGCGCCCUUUGGCUAUUCCGAAGGGCAUGCCUGUUUGAGUAUCAUGAACACCUCAACUCUCAUGGCUUGCCGUGAUGAGCUUGGACUUUGGGGGUCUUGCUGGCCUGUGGUUGGCUCCUCUCAAAUGAAUCAGCUUAUCAGUGUUUGGUGGCAUCACAGGUGUGAUAACUAUCUACGCUUGUGGUUUUCCACCAGGUUAACCUUCAGUGAUGGAGGUUCGCUGGAGCUCAUAAAUGUCUCUUCUCAGUGAGGACAGCUCUUUGAACGUUUGAUCUCAAAUCAGGUAGGACUACCCGCUGAACUUAAGCAUAUCAAUAAGCGGAGGA